Rhipicephalus microplus (southern cattle tick) is the source of this 318-nucleotide long non-coding RNA. Lineage: Eukaryota; Metazoa; Arthropoda; Arachnida; Ixodida; Ixodidae. The record is from RefSeq and is a predicted model, not a curated record.
UGUCGGACUCAUGGUUGAGCAGCUACUAGUUACUAACAGGAAUCGUACUUGCGGUGUCUUCAAAAUAUAUCGUCAGCAACUAUGGGCCAGCAGAGACGCAGACGCCAUCUAUGAGUUGCGUGUGCGAAAUCCAAAUAGUACUGAGAUUGAGAAGAAAUGCAUGAACAAAUUCACGAAGUACAGCAGUCAUAAAGGCCGAAAGAUAUACUCCUCUCAUUGCAACGCCAAAAGUUACGACUGCAGCAUUUUGCCUGAAUGAUGUGUGUUCGAGACUGAUAAGUGGUGGUUGUUUUGAAUAAAUUAGUUUUGACAAUGACA